Molecule: ribosomal RNA, 253 nt
Filed under: uncultured bacterium
Lineage: Bacteria
Description: partial 16S ribosomal RNA
Rfam family: Bacterial small subunit ribosomal RNA
Source: RNAcentral
UACAGAGGUCUCAAGCGUUGUUCGGAUUCAUUGGGCGUAAAGGGCGCGUAGGCGGCCCGAUAAGUCAAAGGUGAAAUCCCUCGGCUCAACUGAGGAACUGCCUUUGAAACUGUCGGGCUUGAGGCCGGGAGAGGGUAGCGGAAUUCCCAGUGUAGCGGUGAAAUGCGUAGAUACUGGGAGGAACACCGGUGGCGAAGGCGGCUACCUGGACCGGUUCUGACGCUGAUGCGCGAAAGCGUGGGUAGCAAACAGG